GACUCAGCGAAGUUGAAAUGUUUGUGAAGAUGCAAUCUACCCGAGGCUAGACGGAAAGACCCCAUGCACCUUUACUGUAGCUUUGCAUUGGACUUUGAACAGAUCUGUGUAGGAUAGGUG
Molecule: ribosomal RNA, 120 nt
Filed under: Gallionellaceae bacterium
Lineage: Bacteria; Pseudomonadati; Pseudomonadota; Betaproteobacteria; Nitrosomonadales; Gallionellaceae
Description: partial 23S ribosomal RNA
Rfam family: Bacterial large subunit ribosomal RNA
Source: RNAcentral